The sequence is a ribosomal RNA, 281 nucleotides long. The stretch from base 84 to 281 matches the Rfam family "Eukaryotic small subunit ribosomal RNA", at positions 721 to 919 of the family's 1831-position model.
CUGAGGUGGGAGUCGUCGGUUCAGCUUGCGCUGUGACUGUACGUGCUCUACCUUACACAGUCAUUAGACACUUUGCGGUGCUCUUUAUUGAGUGCUGCAGAGUGCAUGGCACGUUUACUUUGAAAAAAUUAAAGUGCUCAAAGCAGGCCUUAGUGCUUGUAUACUCUUGCAUGGAAUAAUGGAAUAGGACUUCGGUUCUAUUUUGUUGGUUUUCGGACCCGGAGUAAUGAUUAAAAGGGACUGCCGGGGGCAUAUGUAUUGUGGCGUUAGAGGUGAAAUUC